AAUUAAAUCCAAAAUUCAAAUGAUCGGUGGAGCGGUGGGUCAUCCAAGAAUGGAAGUAACCGUUUCUUGAUUGCUUUUAGUUGCCGUUGAUCGUGGUCGUCGCUUCCGUUCCGUCUCUUGCCUCUCCCGCGCUCCCGCGCUUCCAGCCCUCCACCACCACAACCGCUCGCUCUCCCGCCGGCGCUCUCCACCACCACCGCUGCUCGCUCUCCAGCCGGUGACCACCACCGGACCACCACCACUGUCGUGCCCCAAAGUGAAUGGCAAUUUGCGAGCGAGGGUUUUGAUCGCGGAGUCUCGAUUCAUCUCAAGCUGCAUUAUCUACGGUUGGUUGAGGAACAAGCUUUCUGGUACGUUUGGAGGCUCUGAAUCAAACAUUGUUUUACAGUGGGCACAACAGAGGGAUUUGAAGACGUCAAAUCUUCUGCUGAAUAAUAGUGGGGAGCUGAAAAUUUGUGAUUUUGGUUUGGCUCGCCAGUAUGGAAGUCCUCUGAGACCUUACACAUAGUUGGUGGUCACAUUGUGGUAUCGAGAUGCAGGUUCCACUAUUUAUUUACAUGGGAUUACAUUUGGAUAGAUAUGGUUGCCAAAGAAUUGUUGAUUUCAGCAUUUGAUAUGGCAAGCAUAUCUUUUCUUUAUUUCUCGUGUUCAUCGCUAAUUUUGUCCACGAACAUGGGAUUACAUUUGGGUAGAUAUAGUUGCCUAAAGAGUUGCUGAUUUUCAGCAUUUGAUAUGACAAGCAUAUGUUUUCUUUCU
Long non-coding RNA from Nymphaea colorata (pocket water lily), 756 nucleotides. RefSeq lists it as uncharacterized. Lineage: Eukaryota; Viridiplantae; Streptophyta; Magnoliopsida; Nymphaeales; Nymphaeaceae. The transcript is spliced from 5 exons. The record is from RefSeq and is a predicted model, not a curated record.